Molecule: ribosomal RNA, 253 nt
Filed under: uncultured bacterium
Lineage: Bacteria
Description: partial 16S ribosomal RNA
Rfam family: Bacterial small subunit ribosomal RNA
Source: RNAcentral
UACGUAGGGUGCAAGCGUUGUCCGGAAUUAUUGGGCGUAAAGAGCUCGUAGGCGGUUUGUCGCGUCUGCCGUGAAAGUCCGGGGCUCAACUCCGGAUCUGCGGUGGGUACGGGCAGACUAGAGUGAUGUAGGGGAGACUGGAAUUCCUGGUGUAGCGGUGAAAUGCGCAGAUAUCAGGAGGAACACCAAUGGCGAAAGCAAUCUCCUGGACGCAAACUGACGCUGAGAUACGAAAGCCAAGGUAGCAAACAGG